RNAcentral lists this ribosomal RNA (499 nucleotides) under uncultured bacterium. RNAcentral's name for it is "partial 16S ribosomal RNA". It matches the Rfam family "Bacterial small subunit ribosomal RNA", at positions 28 to 507 of the family's 1533-position model. The record is from RNAcentral.
GACGAACGCUGGCGGCGUGCUUAACACAUGCAAGUCGAACGGGCCCGCUCUCUUUUUUGGGGGUGGGUUGAGUGGCGAACGGGUGAGUAUCACGUGAGUAACCUGCCCCCUGCUCCUGGAUAACUGCUUGAAAGGGCGGCUAAUACGGGGUGUGCCGGCUGGUCCGCAUGGGCCUGGUCGGGAUAGUUUCAUCUUCGGGUGUUUCGGUGGGGGAUGGGCUCGCGGCCUAUCAGCUUGUUGGUGGGGUGAUGGCCCACCAAGGCGGUGACGGGUAGCCGGCCUGAGAGGGUGGGCGGCCACACUGGGACUGAGACACGGCCCAGACUCCUGCGGGAGGCAGCAGUGGGGGGUAUUGCACAAUGGACGGAAGCCUGAUGCAGCGACGGCGCGUGAGGGAUGGAGGCCUUCGGGUUGUGAACCUCUUUCUCCGGUGGUGAAGGCCCUGUCCGUUGCGGCGGGGUUGACGGUAGCCGGGUAUGAAGCGCCGGCUAACUACGUG